Brachypodium distachyon (stiff brome) is the source of this 1230-nucleotide long non-coding RNA. RefSeq lists it as uncharacterized. The record is from RefSeq and is a predicted model, not a curated record. The transcript is spliced from 2 exons. NCBI's taxonomy places the organism in Eukaryota, Viridiplantae, Streptophyta, Magnoliopsida, Poales, Poaceae.
AAAAAACCCAAUCCGAUCCGGUCUCUAGCAGCCUCGGUCGCUCACGUUGCCUGGGAUCGAUCCUCUCUCUCGCUCGCUCGCGCACAAGAUAGGGGAAUAGAGACGCGACGGCAGCAGAGAGGGAACCUAGCCGCCACCUCAUCGGCAGACGGCAGCAGGGGACUCCUCGCCUGCAGGGACUGCUCGCCGUCUCGCCGCUCGCGCGUUGUUCCAUCCCGCCUAAUCAUGCUCCAGUGGUCCUGUUCGGCUGCCCCUGGCUCCGGUUUUGCUCAUGGGCCGGCUGGCGCCGCAGGCUCGAGCAGGCGAUGGCAACCGCCUCUGCCCGACUCGAUCAACUCUAAAGCCACAUCUUGAAGCCCAAGUAACAAUCUUGCUAUGGAAACUUCAAUUUUUAUCAUUCUUGUUCGAAUCUGGGGAGAAAGUAACAGAAGAAAUUUUGUUUCAUUUUUUUUGCGAGAAUGUGUCAUUUUCACCCUGGCAUGAAACUAAUUAAUAGAUUUUUCCCUCACUAUCCAACCCCUGAAAUAACUUCAGGAACAUCUACGCCUGAAAUAACUUCUCAUGUCCUAAGUCAGAAUAGCGCCUUCCUCUUUAGCUCAAGCAAGUAGCAACGUUUUUGGUUUGAAUAUUGUCAAUCCUGAUCCCGGUCUUUGGAGUUUUACAUGUCGAAUUGGUAUUUUUUUUUCAGAAUUGAAGUCAACGAUAAACUGUUUUGUUGUUUAUGUACUUUCUUAUGAGAUUUUUUUUAAAAGUUUCAUGUUCUCCUAAUUCUGAUGCGGACAUGGAAGGUUCAAAUCCGCCACUGUGCACUUGGGAGCUUUGCGUCCAGGCCGCUAUGUUUAUCUUUCCUCAACUCCUAAUAUCACCUGUAUCCCAACGUUAUUAUGAAUUAAUAAAGCUGCCAGGUUGCCUGUGGCGAGAUUCGUGCUGAUAUUUUUAGGUACUAUCAGUGUGGGGCAGUGGACUUAGAGGUGCAACAUGGUGACUUUCAAGCAAACGAAUCCAACAAGACCAUCUAACGAACGAUGCCCGCAAGGAGGCGCUUGGGGGAUUUAGAAGCCGGUGCUCGGGCUAGGUUAAUCGCUCCGGAAGUUCUCUGGCACACGGCAUGGCUAGCUCAUUCGGUUUGUAGGAAAUAUAGAGGAUAUUUACAGGGUUUCAACCCUUAGAAAUUUUUCCUACCUGUAGCAUUCGUUUCAUAAGAAUUGAGACCAUACAUUUCUAAGAAUU